RNAcentral lists this long non-coding RNA (232 nucleotides) under Helianthus annuus (common sunflower). Its description in RNAcentral is "hypothetical non coding rna". Lineage: Eukaryota; Viridiplantae; Streptophyta; Magnoliopsida; Asterales; Asteraceae. The record is from RNAcentral.
UUUAAGUAUGUAUAUUGGUUGCGUGUAUAAACACCAAUUUAUAACACAAAAAUAGUUAAAUUUUCGGUUUUCGAUUAGAGCCUCCGUAGUGGGGCUGGAUAUGGCACUGGAGACAAGCAUAGCGCUCGACAACACCAUUAGACCAUCCGGCGCUAUGGGGAUUGAAUUUUGAUUCUUCGCGAGAAAUAUCACGCCAUGCCCCUUUCUCCCCUACUCACACACAUAUAUUUAC